ACGGAAGGCAGCAGUGGGGAAUAUUGCACAAUGGGGGAAACCCUGAUGCAGCGACGCCGCGUGAGUGAAGAAGUUAUUCGUAAUGUAAAGCUCUAUCAGCAGGGAAGAAAAUGACGGUACCUGACUAAGAAGCCCCGGCUAACUACGUGCCAGCAGCCGCGGUAAUACGUAGGGGGCAAGCGUUAUCCGGAUUUACUGGGUGUAAAGGGAGCGUAGACGGUCUGGCAAGUCUGAUGUGAAAGGCAGGGGCUCAACUCCUGGACUGCAUUGGAAACUGUCAGUCUUGAGUGUCGGAGAGGUAAGCGGAAUUCCUAGUGUAGCGGUGAAAUGCGUAGGUAUUAGGAGGAACACCAGUGGCGAAGGCGGCUUACUGGACGAUAACUGACGUUGAGGCUCGAAAGCGUGGGGAGCAAACAGGAUUAGAUACCCUGGUA
RNAcentral lists this ribosomal RNA (434 nucleotides) under uncultured Lachnospiraceae bacterium. Its description in RNAcentral is "partial 16S ribosomal RNA". It matches the Rfam family "Bacterial small subunit ribosomal RNA", at positions 341 to 792 of the family's 1533-position model. Lineage: Bacteria; Bacillati; Bacillota; Clostridia; Lachnospirales; Lachnospiraceae. The record is from RNAcentral.